This 193-nucleotide ribosomal RNA is filed under the name uncultured Actinomycetales bacterium. RNAcentral describes it as "partial 16S ribosomal RNA". It matches the Rfam family "Bacterial small subunit ribosomal RNA", at positions 138 to 334 of the family's 1533-position model. Lineage: Bacteria; Bacillati; Actinomycetota; Actinomycetes; Actinomycetales. The record is from RNAcentral.
CUGGGAUAAGCCUGGGAAACUGGGUCUAAUACCGGAUAGGACCAUGCUUUAGUGUGUGUGGUGGAAAGUUUUUUCGGUGUAGGAUGAGCCCGCGGCCUAUCAGCUUGUUGGUGGGGUAAUGGCCUACCAAGGCGGCGACGGGUAGCCGGACUGAGAGGUUGGUCGGCCACAUUGGGACUGAGAUACGGCCCAG